Molecule: non-coding RNA, 46 nt
Filed under: Schistosoma haematobium
Lineage: Eukaryota; Metazoa; Platyhelminthes; Trematoda; Strigeidida; Schistosomatidae
Source: RNAcentral
GCACCCCUGAGGAGUCCCAUACUAGGACGAAACGGCCGUCCAGUGC